AUCUCUCACUAGAAAUUUCCACUAAUGCUUUAAAUAAACAUUUAGGUUUCAUCUUCUCACAAGGACUUCAUCUUCUUGCUUACCAAGUUUUUGUUUCGAGCUUGGUCUAUUCUUCAGGUUCGUCUAAAUUCGAAUCAAGGAGGUAACGAAUGGGAAAAGAGAUUAAACAACGAGAUUUAUGGAUAACCAUCCUCAUCAAUUAGCUUGGACAAAUCAAGAUGAUGAGAUAUUAAUUGAGCCAUCUGAGCAUGUGGAAGAGUUUAUGGAGGAGAAAAAAUGUACCUGUAUUCUUGAAUUUAUUGUUUCAAAAUUGAAAAAUGAUAUUCCUCAUUUAAGGGCCAAGAAUUGCAACAUACAAUUUCUAUUGCUUGGUUCCUUUAUUUUUGUACCGCUACCUCUUGUACGAGAUAGAAAAAUUGAUGCAAAAUUGGGGGUGCAAUUCAUAUCUUCAAAGUGGAAGGAAAAAUAGUAAUACUGAUGGUGUCGUUCCGCGAUGUUAAAUCAGGGGUUUCAUGGGAGGCAACCUAUGUGAAAACUUGAUGAAGUUUGAGUAGUCAAGUGACCAACAUUGUGCCGCGAUGUUAAAUCAACCGCUUAUUGGGACGCAACCCAAUUUGAAGUGUAGCUUCUUAUUUUUAUUUUUAUAGUGUCACUUUUUUGUGUUGUUUUGUUUUUGUAGAUUUAGGGGAAGUCCGAGUACCCAAAUUUAAAGCUAAAGAACACUUGUUUAGUUUAGUGUGGGUUCUCACAACCCAUGAUUAAAAUUGAAUAAACAUGUUGUUAGC
This is a long non-coding RNA of Solanum dulcamara, 785 nucleotides long. RefSeq lists it as uncharacterized. NCBI's taxonomy places the organism in Eukaryota, Viridiplantae, Streptophyta, Magnoliopsida, Solanales, Solanaceae. The record is from RefSeq and is a predicted model, not a curated record. The transcript is spliced from 3 exons.